GAAUGAGAGCCAAUUUCUGUAAUGAAUGACCAAGAUUUAUGGACAUCGUGGCGGCUAGGCAAGAUUUGGGUAUUAUUGAAUGCAAGAGGUGAUGUUUUUGGAGGGUUUUUAUUAGGGUUCUUUAGAAAAUUGAAAUAAUUUGGGGCAAAGAAUCUUGAGUUGGGUUGAUGGGGAGGAUAAAAAGGUAAAAACCGUGGAAUUGCAGAUGGAGCCGCCAUUAAAGGAGUGUUGAAGAAAGUGUAGCUGGGAAAGAUAAUACAUUUUGAUAUGGUUUGAAUGAAAUUUGUGUGGAUAUGAAAGUUCGUGGCAAACAAAGAAGAUGAGUCCCGUACGGACACAUUCCCGGCAAUUUUAAAAGAAACAGUUUUGUUAGUUGGUCCCACCGGAAGCUUUUUUUUUUCUUCAGGUACAAUAAUAUUCUUUCCGUCCCAAAAUUAAAAAAUAUAUAAUAUUUUAUAGUACGUCCAUAAUUAAUUGAUGUUUUAGAGGUGGACACAAAAAUUAAAAUAAUAAUUAGAAAUCAUUAAAUAUAAUAUUCAAUUAUCUAUAAUACCCUUAAAUAAAUCUUUUGUUAGGAUAAAGAGAGUUUUGUUGGGAUAAGGAGAGAGAAAGAGUUUAAUGAGGGGUAAUUUUGAAAAAAUUGUCAUUAAUUCUCCUAGAUUUGAAUAAACGUCAAAUAAUUAGGGACAAAUGAAAAAUUAUAAAACGUUAAAUAAUUAGAAACGGAAGGAGUACUUUAAAAAAAAUUAAAGAUGUAUUUUCUUUAUCUAUUUCAAAAUUUAAUAUAUAUUUUUAUUUUUAAAUUAUAAAAUAACAUGAACAUUUUAAUAUAUUAAUUGAGUACUAUUAUGUCACUACUAUUAUAAUUUAUAAUUUAUAUUAAGAAUAAGUUUUGAUUAAAAAAAAAGUCAUCAUUUUAGAGCAAAAAAUUAUGUCGCUACUUAUUAGACCAAUAGCUAUCAUUUAAUAUAUUAAAUAUUGUUAAAACUAUUACCAAAAUGUUAUUAAAUGAAUAUUUAUUCUCGUACAUUAUUCUUUUAUUUACGAUCAACAAUCUUAUAAAUAUAUUUUUAAUUUUAAAAUGAAGAGAGUAUCAACAACACUCAUUCAUGAUAUAUAAUAUUUUUAUAAAUAAAGUUAUAAUCUUUAUCUAAAUAUUCAAUUGAACAAUGUCGUCUAUCUUGUAGGGAGAGUUAAACUAGUUUUUUAUAAUCACUAAAUGAUAAUAAUAAAUAAAAUAAUAUUAUUUGUACAAACUAUAUACAAAUUUUUUUAACUUUAAAUGAUACCCAUCGUCCGUGGAUAUAGAUCAAUUUAUACCACAUUACGUGGGCUCACUCAACCCUAAAAGCUUAAUUUUUUUGGGCUCAGAGGCCCAAUAUUAGCAGCUAGUACUAAUAAAGAUUGGGAGCUAAAAAUCAAACUGCUGUAAAAAUGUGGAAGACAGCGGCAAGCAAAGCUCUGCAACCAUGGCGCAUGUUAGCAUCAUCGCGGCUGAUGUCGACGAAGAGUGACUUCAGUGUAAUCAACUCCAUACUCCUCCGCUCCCUCAAAGAACACUUUGACGAAGUCUCCAAAAUGACACCUCCACCGGUAAAACCCUAAUUUUCCACUAUUAGGUUUCAGUUUAUGGAAUAUUUAGUUGUGAUUCUACUGAUUUUACUUUAAAAUAGUGCAUUGAGGCUUUGAAAAAUUAUAUUUUGUGGCUUGGUUGAAAGAAAUAAGUUUGGGGUUUUAGUGGGGUUUAUCCAAUUUGUGGUGAAUGCUUUAAUUAAACCUAGAUUUAGGCACUAAAAUGAUCAUCGUGCUUGUAAUAUGUAAUAUUUGAAGUGUGUGAAGGGAAAUCCUGCUAAAUUUGCCUAGGGUUUAUAGUGGGUUUCUUUGUAGUGUGAUAAAUUAAGGUUUAAUCAGUAAACUGACUCUCAGUCUAUCUCUUGUAUGCAUCGACGCCAGAACGUAUAAAUUAUAAAUGCAAAAUCCAGCUAAGUUUUGUCUAGGAUUUUUGUAGUUUUUAUUUAGAGUAAUGCCUAGGGUAUCAAGUUGUGUGACAUGAAUUUUUUCUAGUAAUACUGAGACUUCAUAUGAGACUAAAUUUGAGAUCCUAGCAUUUCUCUCUCUUUUUAGUUAUUCUUUCACCAUCAUUUUAUUUGUGAUUGCUAUCCCAAAUUCCCGAUAAACUUAUAUAUUCUUAGCCACUGAAAUGAUUGUACAAUAUUUGAAAAUUAAGUGUCUAGUGGUAAUACAACUAAAGGUGUAAAUAAAUUGAGUCGAGCCGAGUAUUGAGUUGCUCAGAUUUAGUUUACAAAAUUUAUCAAGUAUAAAAUAAUAUUUUUUGAGGCUCGUUUAGCUACUAAGUCGAGCAUAAUCUCAUAUCGUGCCCAAGCAGUUUGAACUUUUUGAAUGAAUAUGAUUCGAGUAUUAAUAGAAAAUUGCAAUUUGAGGAGGUUCGAGUAAUUUAUCGAAAUUUAAAAUUUGCUCGUUUGAAUCAUUUAUAUUUCGAGUCGAGCUCGAAUCGAAUUUUUAGUCGAGCGAGUACGAAUCGAGUUCGAACUGUUUGCUCAUUUUACGGCAUUAAUUAUACAGUUGCAACAAUCUAGGGUUGUUGUGGGCUUUUCAUUUUUUACCUAUUUAGUUAUAAUAUGGUAUGCAUAUAACAUUCUGCUAAUAUGUAUUUAUUUAGCCUCUGAAAUGAUCUUACCCUUCUUUCAAUUGAAUUGUUUUUUGCUGGCAAUGCUGCUAGAAGUCUUUCUAGGAUUUUGAUGGUUUUAUCUCGAGUAGUUUUUUUUACUUGUGUUUCACAGAAGGUGAGCCCUCCUUCUCCAUUCUCGGUUGUGAAAGGGGCACUUGAAAGUGGUGGCCCUGUUUUGAAACGAGAUUACGGUGAAGAGGAAAUUAGUAUAUCAGUGAUGCGGUUGGUUAACAUUAUUCCUGGUGGUGCAGAUGGCGAUGAUGAUGACGGAAUUAACCAGUUAUUUCUUCAUGUUGAUGUGUCAAAGCCUGGACAGAGCGAUGCUUUGCAUUUUCUUUGUGGGUUGUAUCCGGAUGCCUUGGGGAUUCACUCAGUUCAAAUGAGGUCUAAGCUGGAGGAUUCAAGUUAUCUUAUGGUUUCAACCAAGUAUAAUGGACCCACCUUCGAAGAGCUCGAUGAAAAUAUGAGGGAUGCACUCCAUGGAUACAUUGAAGAGCGGGGUAUAAAUGAAAAGCUCUUUCCAUUUCUUCAAGCUUGGCUUUACGUGAAGGAUCACCGGAAACUCCUGCAGUGGUUCAAAUCGGUUGGUACUGUCAUUAUUGAACGCAAGCAAGCUUCAAAUUCAGAUGUUCAAAGCAGUAAAUGAUUUUCAAGAUUAAUGUAUGGAAUGAUUUUGCUAAUUAGCCAAUGACUGGUAGAUUGUCCGUAAAGUUUUCUUGUAUUUUGCAAGGCCAUUUUAAAACUCGUCCUCUCUCUCUAUCUCUCUCCAUUCCUAGUGCAGAAGUAUUUAAAUUACUUUAGAUCAACAAUCGUAGAAUAUUUGUAAUAUGAAUAUGUUCCAAGUUUGCUUAAUGUUUCACAGGAAUCUAUUACGUAUUCACUAAUCCUCGGAAGCAAGUUCAUGAAUUUCCGAACAAAGUUAAGCUUUUUAAUUAAUUGACGAAUAAUUUAUCCAGUGUUGACACAAUAGAUUUGAACAAAUUAUACAUGGAUGAUGAUGUGUGAAUAUUAUGAAACGAAUCAAGUCUCUCUCGUGAGCAAAUUUUCAACUAAAAACACCUUAUGCAUGUUGUGUUUGCUUACUUGAAUUUUACAAAGAUAAUUGAUAUCAUGUUUCUUACAAUCUAUAUUCGUAGAUCGAGUAACCUUUUUAGGACUUGCUCGGUGAAAAAAUACUAUCAAUUUGAAAAGUUGGCACUGUUAUGGUAGUUUUGGCUUUUCCUAGAACAAGUUUCAUAAUAAUGGAUAUUCCUACCAUCUUUUUCUAUGGUUGUACACCAGGUUUGGCAAGACCCAUAACAGCUUUGUCGCAUCAGUCAAUCAAUACACAAUUAUAAUAAGACAAAUACCGAGCUAAUCCCGAGUCAACUCAACAGUGGUUCAAAAGAUUUUUAUUUUUAUCGAGUCGUUUAGGUUGGUCCAGAGUUAACUCGACAAUCAAACUUUGACGAUUCGAUUGCAAUCUCUCCCUCUCUUCAAGCUAUAACCCCUAAGCAAACUAAUAGUGUUUACUUCACUUCAUUCCUUGACUCAGUUUUCCAAAUGCACACACUACACUACUGUUACAUAGUACUACUCUCUCCAUUCCAUAAUAAUAAUUAUUAUUAGUAAUACAAGAGAAAUUUUUUCAGAAAAAAUGAGAGAAUUUAGGGAUAUUAUAAAAAAUUAAAUGAUUUAUUCUUUUAGAAAGUUGUAAUCCGCACAUAGAUUGAAAAAUAUUUUCUUUUCUAAAUGAUUUAUUGUUGUUAUAUUUUGAAAGAUAUCACUAAAAUAAAGAUAUUUUUGUCCGACACCAAUACUUGUCAUAAUCAUAAUACUGUUUGUAUAUACACUAACAAUGCAUGAAGCUUUAAUUCUAAUUACAUACGCUUUGAAUGCCAGUGGAAGUGGUACUGCUGUCCGAAUAUGGGGAUUUCACCACAAAAAAAUUUGGGUGGAUUGAUUUUUGGGAUGACCCACUCGCCAAAACUUGGAAUGAGAGUCAAUUUCUGUAACGGAUGACCAAGAUUUAUGGACAUCGUGGCGGCUAUGCAAGAUUUGGGCAUUAUUGAAUGCAAGAGGUGAUGUUUUUGUAGGGUUUUUAUUAGGGUUCUUUAGAAAAUUGAAAUAAUUUGGGGCAAAGAAUCUUGAGUUGGGUUGAUUGGGAGGAUAAAAAGGUAAAAACCGUGGAAUUGCAGAAGGAGACGCCAUUGAAGGAGUGUUGAAGAAAGUGUAGCUGGGAAAGAUAAUACAUUUUGAUUUGGUUUGAAUGAAAUUUGUGUGGAUAUGAAAGUU
This 4963-nucleotide long non-coding RNA is filed under the name Panax ginseng (ginseng). Its description in RNAcentral is "long non-coding RNA (PGIN_LNC011937)". Lineage: Eukaryota; Viridiplantae; Streptophyta; Magnoliopsida; Apiales; Araliaceae. The record is from RNAcentral.